AUUAAUGAGAGUUUGAUCCUGGCUCAGGACGAACGCUGGCGGCGUGCCUAAUACAUGCAAGUAGAACGCUGAAGAGAGGAGCUUGCUCUUCUUGGAUGAGUUGCGAACGGGUGAGUAACGCGUAGGUAACCUGCCUUGUAGCGGGGGAUAACUAUUGGAAACGAUAGCUAAUACCGCAUAACAAUGGAUGACACAUGUCAUUUAUUUGAAAGGGGCAAUUGCUCCACUACAAGAUGGACCUGCGUUGUAUUAGCUAGUAGGUGAGGUAAUGGCUCACCUAGGCGACGAUACAUAGCCGACCUGAGAGGGUGAUCGGCCACACUGGGACUGAGACACGGCCCAGACUCCUACGGGAGGCAGCAGUAGGGAAUCUUCGGCAAUGGGGGCAACCCUGACCGAGCAACGCCGCGUGAGUGAAGAAGGUUUUCGGAUCGUAAAGCUCUGUUGUAAGUCAAGAACGGGUGUGAGAGUGGAAAGUUCACACUGUGACGGUAGCUUACCAGAAAGGGACGGCUAACUACGUGCAAGCAGCCGCGGUAAUACGUAGGUCCCGAGCGUUGUCCGGAUUUAUUGGGCGUAAAGCGAGCGCAGGCGGUUUGAUAAGUCUGAAGUUAAAGGCUGUGGCUCAACCAUAGUUCGCUUUGGAAACUGUCAAACUUGAGUGCAGAAGGGGAGAGUGGAAUUCCAUGUGUAGCGGUGAAAUGCGUAGAUAUAUGGAGGAACACCGGUGGCGAAAGCGGCUCUCUGGUCUGUAACUGACGCUGAGGCUCGAAAGCGUGGGGAGCGAACAGGAUUAGAUACCCUGGUAGUCCACGCCGUAAACGAUGAGUGCUAGGUGUUGGAUCCUUUCCGGGAUUCAGUGCCGCAGCUAACGCAUUAAGCACUCCGCCUGGGGAGUACGACCGCAAGGUUGAAACUCAAAGGAAUUGACGGGGGCCCGCACAAGCGGUGGAGCAUGUGGUUUAAUUCGAAGCAACGCGAAGAACCUUACCAGGUCUUGACAUCCCGAUGCUAUUUCUAGAGAUAGAAAGUUACUUCGGUACAUCGGUGACAGGUGGUGCAUGGUUGUCGUCAGCUCGUGUCGUGAGAUGUUGGGUUAAGUCCCGCAACGAGCGCAACCCCUAUUGUUAGUUGCCAUCAUUCAGUUGGGCACUCUAGCGAGACUGCCGGUAAUAAACCGGAGGAAGGUGGGGAUGACGUCAAAUCAUCAUGCCCCUUAUGACCUGGGCUACACACGUGCUACAAUGGUUGGUACAACGAGUUGCGAGUCGGUGACGGCGAGCUAAUCUCUUAAAGCCAAUCUCAGUUCGGAUUGUAGGCUGCAACUCGCCUACAUGAAGUCGGAAUCGCUAGUAAUCGCGGAUCAGCACGCCGCGGUGAAUACGUUCCCGGGCCUUGUACACACCGCCCGUCACACCACGAGAGUUUGUAACACCCGAAGUCGGUGAGGUAACCUUUUGGAGCCAGCCGCCUAAGGUGGGACAGAUGAUUGGGGUGAAGUCGUAACAAGGUAGCCGUAUCGGAAGGUGCGGCUGGAUCACCUCCUUU
RNAcentral lists this ribosomal RNA (1548 nucleotides) under Streptococcus thermophilus LMD-9. RNAcentral describes it as "16S ribosomal RNA". It matches the Rfam family "Bacterial small subunit ribosomal RNA". The record is from RNAcentral. Lineage: Bacteria; Bacillati; Bacillota; Bacilli; Lactobacillales; Streptococcaceae.